GCAAGUCGCACGGGAUCAUUUUGGUAGUAAUACUUGAAUGGUCUAGUGCCGCACGGGUGAGUAACACGUGAAUUACAUGCCCUUCAGUGGGGAAUAGCCCAGGGAAACUUGGAUUAAUACCCCAUGGUAUCGCAAGAUUAAAGGUGGCCGCAAGGCUGUCGCUGAAGGAUUGGUUCGCGCCCUAUCAGCUUGUUGGUGAGGUAACGGCUCACCAAGGCUACGACGGGUACCUGGUUUGAGAGGACGAUCAGGCACACUGGAACUGAGACACGGUCCAGACACCUACGGGUGGCAGCAGUCGAGAAUAAUUCACAAUGGGGGCAACCCUGAUGGUGCAACGCCGCGUGGAGGAUGACGGUCUUCGGAUUGUAAACUCCUGUCAUCCGGGAGUAAGACCUGGCAGUUAACAGCUGACAGGGUUGAUAGUACCGGAAGAGGAAGGGACGGCUAACUUCGUGCCAGCAGCCGCGGUAAUACGAAGGUCCCGAGCGUUGUUCGGAAUCACUGGGCGUAAAGGGAGCGUAGGCGGCGUGGUAAGUCAGAUGUGAAAUCCCGGGGCUCAACCCCGGAACUGCAUCCGAUACUGCCGUGCUAGAGUGAUGGAGAGGUAGCUGGAAUUCUUGGUGUAGCAGUGAAAUGCGUAGAUAUCAAGAGGAACACUCGUGGCGAAAGCGAGCUACUGGACAUUUACUGACGCUGAGGCUCGAAGGCCAGGGUAGCGAAAGGGAUUAGAUACCCCUGUAGUCCUGGCAGUAAACGGUGCACGCUUGGUGUGAGGGGAAUCGACCCCCCUUGUGCCGGAGCUAACGCGUUAAGCGUGCCGCCUGGGAAGUACGGUCGCAAGACUAAAACUCAAAGAAAUUGACGGGGACCCGCACAAGCGGUGGAGUAUGUGGCUUAAUUCGAUGCAACGCGAAAGACCUUACCAAGGCUUGACAUGGAUUUCUAAGCACGUGAAAGCGUGU
This 965-nucleotide ribosomal RNA is filed under the name uncultured Verrucomicrobiaceae bacterium. Its description in RNAcentral is "bacterial SSU rRNA". It matches the Rfam family "Bacterial small subunit ribosomal RNA", at positions 57 to 1012 of the family's 1533-position model. Lineage: Bacteria; Pseudomonadati; Verrucomicrobiota; Verrucomicrobiia; Verrucomicrobiales; Verrucomicrobiaceae. The record is from RNAcentral.